This 75-nucleotide transfer RNA is filed under the name Marmota monax (woodchuck). RNAcentral's name for it is "tRNA.Ala". Lineage: Eukaryota; Metazoa; Chordata; Mammalia; Rodentia; Sciuridae. The record is from RNAcentral.
CUCAGGAUGUAGCUCAGUGGUAGAGCACUUGCCUAGCAUGACCAAAACUGUGGGUUUAAGCCCCAACUCUUGGGG